GCCCGUAUUACAGGACAAAGUCUAUCAGGCUGCUGCUGCUUUUAUUUCUGUUCCUCGUCCAUCGUUACAUUGACACUGGCCUGGAGCUGCGAUGGGAGUGAAUUGACUCCAGAGAAAGCAAAGCAGGCAGUAGAGGACUCCAUCUGCACCCCUCACCCCCAAACCGGGCAGAUGCCAGAGGCCAGGCAGAGGACAUAGGCUGCUGCACAGUGGAGGAUCCAUGGAAAGGGACAACAUCCAGGUAAUGCCUUCACAAGCCCUGGGAACUGUGCUACAAGCUGGGAAACACAACAGCGUGAUCCUGUCUGUAUUCAAAGAGCUCACAAUUCCCUGCAGACAGUCCCGAAUCGUGAUGGUGAAAGUUCUCCUUGAGAACCUGAGGAGAGAAGCGGUCCCUCUCCCCAGAGACUGCUCAUUGAAAUGGAUGCAAGAUUUCGUCAGUAACUUGGGAUGUUCAUAAAUUCCUGGAAGUUUGAUCCCUGGCUUCCUAAAAUUCCCUGAAUUCUGAGUUCAGCAUGCCUCCAUGAAACACAGAAUGAAAGACAGCAGGGAAGGAGGGAGGUGACAGAGGGUGUCAGCAUGUCCUCCUGGCUCAGGAAAGCUUUCCUGGAGGAGAUGCUUAGGCGACUUGAAGGAUAAAUCUGAUGUCAGCUGAAGAGGUGAGGGCAUGGGAGGUAGGAAAUGCAUGGAAGUGGGGAGGGACCUGUCAUCACUAGGACUGUGUGAUGGGAGGGGCUGGGUGGGCCAGGCACCAGGAAGCUGGAGGGGGCCAGGUCAUGAAAGGCAUGGCUUUGUCCUGGCCAGAUGGUGUCAGUGCUAUAGCCUUAUGCAGGAAAAGGAGGAUCAGACUUGACUUCUGGAGGAGCCUCUGUUCGGGGCUGAGGAGGGGCUGGAGGAUGGUGGACCAGCUGUCCCCAUCAUGCAGGCCCAGAGUCUGGAUACAGGUGGGCUCUGGGGUUGAGGAGGGAGUACGGGCUGGAGUGGUGUUUAGGAAGGAGAACCAGCAGGACUCCAAAGCUGAUUGGAGGGGCCGUCUGUGCUGGGGCUGGCACUUGGAAUAAACUCCAAGUUUUUGCCUUAAGCAGUUGAGUGCUUGGCGUGGGUGGGUUCAGAAAGUGCCUUUGGGCACGAAUGCCAAUGCAACAUCAUAAAAGUGCCCACACAGGACACAUUUUCUUCCAUUCAAAAUGAAAUAAGCUUUUGUAAAUGGUAAGAAGUACAUUCCUUACAACUCAGAUGACCCAGGAGAUUGGAUAGAAGGAAGUCAAGAGAAAGCCAAUACUGCCUUUUAUUCACAGAGUUGUAUCUGCCAUCACAUGGAGGCAGCUUUCUAAUCUUUCUCUGCAGUAGAAGCAGGCGCUGUGGCGCUGCUGGGGCGUUGGGCUGUCUGCAGUCUGGGCACACAGGGAUACUCAUGCCGGAGGGCUGGGAGGAGUCCUGGAUAGGCUCAGUUGGAGCUGCUCAGUACAGUGUGCUAUGUAAAGAGAGUCCCCCAAAUGUCAAAUCAUAAUUUUGAAUUUCUUAUAAAUAAAUUUCUAUAGGUUAGGAAUCUUGGGUAUUAUAAAUCUUGACUUAUGAUAAAAGUACUCAUUGAAAGAAACCCACAUACACUUAGCUGCCAUUUCUUUUUUCCCUUUUUUUAAAGCCAUGCUCACGGAUUUGAACCCGUGCCACAGCAGCAAACUAAGCCACUGCAGUGACAAGGUCAGGUCCUUACCUGCUGAGCUACCAGGAAACUGCUGCUACCAUUUCAAACUUCAUAUACUAGGACAGUGAUUAAAAUUUAAAUAACAGCUUUAUUUUGAGAUAUAUUUCACAUACCAUAUGAUUCACCCAUUUAAAUUAUACAAUGCAGAAUUCCCACUGAGAUGCAGUGGGUUAAGGAUCCAGCAUUGCUGCAGCUGUGUCAUAGGUCGCAGCUGCAGCUCAGAUUUGAUCCCUGGCCCAGGAAUUCCCAUAUGCUGUGGAUGUGGCCGUAAAAAAAAAAAAGAAAAAAGAAAAAAGAAAAAGAAAGAAUCUUUGCCGUACUAAAGAAGAGAUGCAUAUGUGAUUCUGAGUUUCUUAGUGGCCAAAACAGAUAAAGAAACACAACUAAUGACAAGCAGUAAUUUAUCUAAGAAGUGAAUAUACUGGUUUUACAGCAAAGAGAUCUGAGUGACGGUCCCUCCUCCUUAUAAGAGGUCUGUCCCCACGGCAGAUUCCCAGACUAGGGGUUGAAUCAGAGCUGUAGCCGCCGGCCUACGCUUCAAUUUAAACCAACAGAAGAAUAUAUUUUCUCUUGAUGCCAGUAAUCAGAGGCACCUGAAAAAAUUCCUGACAUAUGAAAACUUUUGUAUACAUUUUAAAAUAUAUAUCUUUUGCAUUAUUUUUCUUGUUCCAAAAGGAAUACCAUUUAACUGCCAAAAGAAUUUUAGAAAAAAAAUUUAAAUAAAAAUUAAUUG
This 2441-nucleotide long non-coding RNA is filed under the name Sus scrofa (pig). RNAcentral describes it as "lncRNA (ENSSSCG00000056141.1)". The record is from RNAcentral. Lineage: Eukaryota; Metazoa; Chordata; Mammalia; Artiodactyla; Suidae.